This is a long non-coding RNA of Perognathus longimembris pacificus (Pacific pocket mouse), 1169 nucleotides long. RefSeq lists it as uncharacterized. The record is from RefSeq and is a predicted model, not a curated record. The transcript has 3 exons. NCBI's taxonomy places the organism in Eukaryota, Metazoa, Chordata, Mammalia, Rodentia, Heteromyidae.
UUAAGUGUGACAUAAUUAAAUGUCGCCUGCAGAACCUGCUGAGGGCCCCAGUAGCUCCCAGACUGAGAUCAAGACAUGGACAACAACAGAGAUUUCUUUGGCUUGUGUUUGCUGAACCCAGUCUUAAUUCAAAGCGAGUCAGCUUCACUUCCCUUGUGUCUAGUUUUUCAGAACUCCUAUAUUACAAAUAUAAUUAGAUUUCCCUAUUUUGCAGAGUUGUUGGAAGAAAUGUACUAUUAGCUUGACAAUGUCACUUAACUGUGUUAGAAUGCUAAUGGUUGCUUCUUUUUGCCACAAUAACUUGACAAAUAUUUCUCUAUCAGUGUGUUUUUGCCUGUUUCACCAAAUAAUUUUGCUUGGUUCCUGUAAGGCAUUAUUAGUGUUGCUAUAAAACUAUAGGAAAUUUUCUAUCAGUUUUUCUUUAGCUCCAUAUGUUCAUUUUUGUCUUGAUUGUCAUGAUUUGGGUUUCAACUUGGAACCUAUUAUCUUAAAAAAAUUGCUAUAAAGAAAGUUUGGCUAAUUUGCCUAGUAAAAUAUACUCUACAAUGGAAAAUAUGAUUAAUGGAUUAAAUAAUAACUUUGACUAUAAAAUGUUAUUAAAAAAGACCUGAGAAAUUCACACAAUUUGCUUAGGCUUUUAAAUAAACCCUUAAUUCAAGGUGCUAGAGUACCUAAGCAAAGUCACCCUUGAUGUGUUUUACUUGCAGUUUUCUUAUCCUUUACUGUAUAGACACCUACACUAAACUCUACUGUGGAACAAAUACUAGCUGAUAAAUCUGGGGACACAGUAGAUGUGCAGAACUUUCAAAAUUAUCCAGGUGCUAACAUAAACCAAGCUACACAGAUCUGAAUUAAACAAUACCUUUGCUUCAAUCAAUCUCCUCACUGGAACAUGUCCCAAAACAUACCUUAGCUCCGUUUUCUUUUCCUCUUAUAUUCUACUCUACAGUCUCAUGAUUUCCCACUAUCAGUUCCAAAAUAUUUCUAUUUUGUCUUUCUCUCUUUGCCUCAAAUUCCACAGACCUAAAAUAAAACCCAUCUCAAAAUCUUAAUAAUUGGAUGCGAUCCCAGGGGACAUCUAAUCUUGACUUUAAUGGCUACAUGAAUAACUUCUAUGAAGCUUCCAAAAGAGAUUCUCCUUUCAUGCCUCCAGCUCCAGGAAACUCCUU